UUUUUUUUUUUUUUUUUUUUUUUUCCUCCUUUUUUUUUGGUCUCUGUUGGCUGCUCUCGAACGUGAGUAAACGCUGUGCAGGGAGAGAGGAGGGAGAGCCGCAGCAGCGCAGUGCCAUCGCAGAGCCGCAGCUGUGGCGGACGGACAGCUCGCAAAUGAACACUGUCCCAAUGUCAGAGCGGCCGCAGCCCCCACUGCCCCCGUUAGCACCGACCCCCCCGCGGCGGCGGGGCAGCGCCCGGAGCAGGGUAGGCAGGGACAAUGGGCGAGGCACGGGCAGAGAACCGCAAGGUGGAGCUGAAUACAAUGUCUGCAUUUGUGGCUAACUCCAAGCAAUACAUUAUGAAGAUGAUGUUAUUCAGACACACACCCAAACAAUUUGAUUCAGACAAAUUGGAUAUGAGACUUUGACCAGCAUGAGAAGAACAGGCAAGUCCAAAUCCCACCAACACAAGCCCUGCUGGACUAAGAGGCAGCAGCCUGCACGUGAAGCUGAGCAUCACUCUCCUGCCCCAUGCACAGAAUGUUGCAGAUGCCAACACCAAUGGGACGCAAAAUUCUGCCCACAGCACUCCCAUGUGUGCUGAUGAGACAAGAACUGACCAGGAAAGGUCUCAACCAGCUGGUAAAGUGUAUUCCUUCUGCUCCCGUCUACCAACAGCUGUGCUCCUGAGGUCCCCUUUUUUAGAAGCAAGUGAAGAGACCUCAGUAAGAACAGCAGUGUGAUAACAGUUGUGGGGUGAGCUGGGUUUUUCCUAUCAAACCAAAGUCUCUCUCUAACAAUGACAGAACCCCACAGGUCUUCUGGUGGGGAGCACAGCAUCCAAAAUCAUUGCAUGGGUAAAUGAAGACAGCUAAUGCUGUUUGCUGGUUUCAGCUUGAUGUAACCAAUUGCACUGGUCAAGUUAAGCUGCAUGACAGUGUGAAAUACUUAAAUAGCCAUUGUAGUGUUUCUGAGAGGACAGCUGGCUGCAGGUGCUCUGCAAGAUCACAGUGCAGCGUCAUGCUUUCAGAGCUCGCACAAUGGGCAGAGGCUCAGAAAUUUGGGUGGCAUGGAUGACACAGGUUCAGCAUGGCCAACCCCCCGCAGAGCUGCUUUCUGACUGCAGGGGAAGUCAUCUCCCGUGUCGCUUUUGAUUCAGGAGCUGUAUUUGGCCUCUGCGUGGGAGCAGAGCUAAAGGAGGAGCGCGGCAUUGCCUGCAGCAUUCGGCCUUCAGCAGAGCCCCGCGCCAGGCAACUCCUGCACAUCUGUGCUGACAGGGCCGUGACAGGAGGUCCCCAAACCAGCAGCCAUGCUUUCAUGCCUGUGCUGAAAGGAGAUGCACAGCAAGGCAGGCAGGAAGGCUGCACGAGGCAGUGCUGCUGUGCCUCCUGCCUGCACCGUGUCAGCCGGGCUGCGCCGUUCGCCCAUCUUUGCGGGAGCACAUCUGUGCAAUGGAAACCUGCGGGGUUUGCUGCACUCCUACUGACAGUUCAUAUUUUAAUCCUUUUUGUUUUCUCUUUAGGAAACAAUUCUCUGACCUUUUUUUGUGUGAAGUGCAAUGGCGAUAGAUAGCACUGUGCAGCGAGGAGUUCUGAAUGAUGGAAAUGCAGAGAUGUCUGCUGAGGUUUGCAUACUGCUGCCACCACGCAGAGGAGAUCUCAUACUGAAAGUGUGAUCACAGCUGAACCCCCAUAUGGAUUAUUUCAAUGGAAAGUCAAGAAAACAGCUAUUGAUUUCUCUUUCAUGAAUAUAAAGCAGAGAUCUUGUGUAAGAGAAGACAACGUUAAAAUAACCAAGCACCAGAAGGGGCUAAGGGAAAAGCCUGAGGUUAGAGCAGAAAGAAAUGCUUGUAUUCAAAGUUUAUAACCGUUUUGAAAUAAUAAAAACUGUGGUUAAACUAUUUACUUCAAUUAGCUUCAUGGUCAGGAAAACCACCAUCACUUAGAUCCCACUUAUAAAAAUGUGUUCUACACCAUUCUGAAACCCCAGAAGACAAUAAAAAACUGUGGGCUUUCUGAUGUUUGAGUGUGCUGGGAUUAGGUGCAAGUUGCUGGGCGUUCCUAGAAACACUAUUUCAGAACAUUUGAACACUCCAACUUUUGGAUCGGUCCGUGCAGUUGGGCUACGUGUGCGAUAGGGGUGCCUGGCUGUGAUGAGAUGGACUUGUGAUGCUGCUGCCUUCCCUGAGCUUCACCUCCUCCAGCUGAGCAUUGUGGCCCCGGCGAAGUCAACCAAGAGUUUGCCGUAGACUUAAUGGAGCCAGAAUUCCAUCCCAGGAGAGGAACAACUGAAGUAGAGUGCCACGGGCUGGUGGCCUGUAGCAAUCUCAGGUGAUGCAGGAGCGAAAAUGUCCUUGUCACGUAACUGAUGUCCUCAGCCCAAGGUUCCCUGAUUUCACUCUGGAUUUUCUGCUGCGUUUCUGUUCAUUGUUGUUGCAGCUCUGUGGAUAACGUGUUAAGGGGUUGUUCUUAAGAAAGAAAGAUUUAACUUUUUUAAAGGGACGGGUGAUUUGUAGAAGACGUUUGUGUAAUUUUGUAUUCUAAAUGUGAUUUAUUUUUAUAAAUAAAUUUGCAUAAAAUCUCCA
This 2567-nucleotide long non-coding RNA is filed under the name Gallus gallus (chicken). RNAcentral's name for it is "lncRNA (ENSGALG00010019852.1)". Lineage: Eukaryota; Metazoa; Chordata; Aves; Galliformes; Phasianidae. The record is from RNAcentral.